Molecule: ribosomal RNA, 496 nt
Filed under: uncultured bacterium
Lineage: Bacteria
Description: partial 16S ribosomal RNA
Rfam family: Bacterial small subunit ribosomal RNA
Source: RNAcentral
GAUGAACGCUGGCGGCGUGCCUAAUACAUGCAAGUCGAGCGAACAGUCGAGGAGCUUGCUCCUCUGACGUUAGCGGCGGACGGGUGAGUAACACGUGGAUAACCUACCUAUAAGACUGGGAUAACUUCGGGAAACCGGAGCUAAUACCGGAUAAUAUAUUGAACCGCAUGGUUCAAUAGUGAAAGACGGUUUUGCUGUCACUUAUAGAUGGAUCCGCGCCGCAUUAGCUAGUUGGUAAGGUAACGGCUUACCAAGGCAACGAUGCGUAGCCGACCUGAGAGGGUGAUCGGCCACACUGGAACUGAGACACGGUCCAGACUCCUACGGGAGGCAGCAGUAGGGAAUCUUCCGCAAUGGGCGAAAGCCUGACGGAGCAACGCCGCGUGAGUGAUGAAGGUCUUCGGAUCGUAAAACUCUGUUAUUAGGGAAGAACAAAUGUGUAAGUAACUAUGCACGUCUUGACGGUACCUAAUCAGAAAGCCACGGCUAACUACGU